This 493-nucleotide ribosomal RNA is filed under the name uncultured bacterium. RNAcentral describes it as "bacterial SSU rRNA". It matches the Rfam family "Bacterial small subunit ribosomal RNA", at positions 30 to 504 of the family's 1533-position model. The record is from RNAcentral.
CGAACGCUGGCGGCGUGCUUAAUACAUGCAAGUCGAACGAGAAAGCCCGAUUUCGGUUGGGCAAGUAAAGUGGCGAACGGGUGAGUAACACGUGGAUAAUCUACCCUUAAAUCUGGGAUAAUCCUUCGAAAGAGGGUCUAAUACCGGAUAACAUCGUUGGUUGGCAUCUUCCGACGAUCAAAGGCGGGGCAACCUGCCGUUUAGGGAUGAGUCCGCGUUCCAUUAGCUUGUUGGUGGGGUAAUGGCCUACCAAGGCGACGAUGGAUAGCCGGCUUGAGAGAGUGAUCGGCCACACUGGGACUGAGAUACGGCCCAGACUCCUACGGGAGGCAGCAGUAGGGAAUAUUGCGCAAUGGACGAAAGUCUGACGCAGCAACGCCGCGUGGGUGAUGAAGCAUCUUGGUGCGUAAAACCCUGUCAGUGGGGAAGAACCGUAUGGGGAGUAACUGCCCUGUGCCUGACGGUACCCACAAAGGAAGUCCCGGCUAACUCC